Molecule: ribosomal RNA, 138 nt
Filed under: Chinchilla lanigera (long-tailed chinchilla)
Lineage: Eukaryota; Metazoa; Chordata; Mammalia; Rodentia; Chinchillidae
Source: RNAcentral
GUCUACAGCCACACCGCCCUGAACGCGCCCGAUCUCGUCUGAUCUCGGAAGCUAAGCAGGGUCAGGUCUGGUUAGUACUUGGAUGGGAAAGGAAUCACCUCCUUUGUAUUAUAUUUCCAAAACAGGAAUUUGCUGAGA